UGAUAUUCUAAUUAAACUACUUCUUG
This 26-nucleotide transfer RNA is filed under the name Apodemus speciosus (large Japanese field mouse). RNAcentral describes it as "partial tRNA-Pro". Lineage: Eukaryota; Metazoa; Chordata; Mammalia; Rodentia; Muridae. The record is from RNAcentral.